Tachysurus fulvidraco (yellow catfish) is the source of this 3279-nucleotide long non-coding RNA. RefSeq lists it as uncharacterized. The transcript has 3 exons. Lineage: Eukaryota; Metazoa; Chordata; Actinopteri; Siluriformes; Bagridae. The record is from RefSeq and is a predicted model, not a curated record.
GAUCAGGACAUAACGACACAGCACACCGGAGAAGCUCAAGCGCGCUCGUGGCUACCCCGUAACCGCGCGCACAAGCUCGUUCACACGUCCCGGUGCCCUCAGUGGAGUUGAAGCUGGUUAGUUUGGGCAUGUUGUAUCUGCUGCGGUACACAGCGGACGUGAUUCCGGACUGCACCUGCUACACCUAAAGACUUUGUGUUUAUUUUCUGUCUCUUUUUUUUUUUUUUAAGACGAAGCUGUUUAUACAAAGCAAGUCAUGAUGCGAGCUGGAAUAGAGCCUAAUUAGUGGACUCGAAGCAGGUGCUCUGUCAAAUCGGACAGAAAAGGAUUCUGCGGCGGGACGGCUGACCCGCUGAGCUUCAGAAAGCAACAAGAAGUCGAUCUGUGUUUGGACAGAAGAGUGGAAAGCAGCCUUGAACGAAUCGAUUUGGUCCUGCUGAGGUCAUACAAGAUACAGAUCUCCCCUCCCACCGCUCUCUGUUUACCACCUGACUACCAUCGCACAGAGACAAACUCUUGGCUGUGUGGGCAUGAAGCAUAAAGUGUGGUUCUGUCAGGGCAGUCAGAGGGGAAAACACUAACCGGGGCAAACGGCGGCCUUCCAGGAGUCACGUCAUUCCAGCGUUCGCUCAGAGGGAGUGAAAACGGAAAGUGUUUACCCAUCCUUGCUGGAAACCUGGAUGGCUGUGUGGAAAGAGGCACAGAGAGGUUAUAUAAACGCCAGCUGAACCAUCUAAGCAGGCUGAAAAGGAGGAAGCAGGAAGCAGCUGAUGCUAUCACUGGUAGUGAUUUUUGAGUGUCUAUGAAUGCCUUUUUUUUGUUUUUGUGUCACUUCCUGGGAGAGAAUGGAAGUGGAAGUGGAGUGACUGUGUGAAGGGAAUGAUGCUUCCACUGUGGGCUUUUUAUACAGGCAUACUCACACAGACUUAUUUGAAGCGUAGGACGUACUUGUGUGUGCGUCUGUGCGUGUGUGUGUGGUGUGUGUGUGUGUGUGUGUGUGUGUGUGUGUGUGUGUGUGUGUGUGUGUGUGUGUGUGUGUGUGUGUGUGUGUGUGUGUGUGUGUGUGUGUGUGUGUGUGUGUGUGUGUAUGCGUGUGUAUGCGUGUGUGUGUGUGUGUGUGUGUGUGUGUGUGUGUGUGUGUGUGUGUGUGUGUGUAUGUGUAUGUGUGUGUGUGUGUUGGGGGAAGGGUUGUGCAUAUUUGCAUUUUCUCAAACUUCUCUAAUUUACCAUUGAAAUACUGCCCUCUUGUGUUUACACACAGAACUGCACACCAGCUUUUUUAUACAGAAGUGGCAUAUUAUGUGGCACCAAAUAAUUAUUUCUAGAUUUUUGCAUUUGCAUUGAUAUCGACUGCAUUUACUUUGUAGUUGCUCAGUAUUUUAUAAUACUUGAUUAUAAUACCUACCAUUAUGAUUAACUUAGAGUGAUUUGAGGUCAGAGUUGGAGUGAAACUGAAGGUGGCACAACGUAUUUCAGUGCCAAACCUGUGGUCAUAAACAAUCAACAGAUUUAACCAUGCAUCUGUUUGACAGUUUAAACCAGAGGAGACAACACCUAUGGUACACCCAUAGCAGGAUGAGUCCACAAUAACUCUCCUCGUGACAGAAUCUGAUUUAUCAACUGAUUAUUUACCCACUAAUUUAUCCACCAGAAGUGUAUUCUUUAUGUAGUGAGUGUGGCAUCGUUCCACAAUCUCAAUAAAGAAUGCAGUCACAAAUGAAAUCAUCCCAGGACUCAUCAAGCUUUCAACACACUUAGUAUUGUUUGUUUUGACUCUUCUCUGUCUGUAUAUUGUAAGGAUUUAUAAUCUGAAGUCAGCCUAGAAGAGAACGGAUGGCUUUUUGUGUCUGCUUUCUCUCAAGGUUUUUUUCUUUCGUGAUUUGUCAGUUGAGAUUUCAGUGAUUGGAAGAGAAUUAUAUAACGAGCGCAGCAUACGAUGUAAAAUAGUCGUAUUGCAGAUAUCGCAAAAAUUCAGAAAUGCUUGCACACCACAGUGACCUAGUUUCCCACACGAAGACUUAGAAAAUGGAGAAAAAUGUGUCUCCUUGUUCCACUGGGCUUGUUUCAGGUCUUUUCGUGGGUUUUUUGAGAUGUAAACAGGUUUUGGCAUAAAACCUGCUUUGAAAAAUCGACACUGCCAAAGCAGAGUCUGAGCUGGUUAAAGCCGCUCAAACUGAUGGGAAGUUUUUUCCCCAUUUAUGAUUACAUACACAUCAAACAGAAGGCUAGCGAGUUCACCAACCGCCGAUUAAAGUUCAGGUGAGUACACGGCCCUGAUUGUCUCUUUUAAACCGUUUAGUGAACCCGUGACUCUGUGACUCAUAUUUUCUGACUCCUAGCAUUCGCCCUCGAAAAGGUCCUAACGUCAUCCUCCCACGGCUGUAAGUCAUGCAGUGAUUUUUUUAGAGCCUAUUUUCGCACGGAUAAACAGAGAACACAAUGCAUGAAGCCUGCUCUUCAACUCGCAUCACUGGCCAUGCAAGGUUCUUCCGUCAUCAUGACAGAAUCUAGUUUGGCAGACUUGCCAGUCACUGUACUGGCCUCGUUUGUUUUAACAGGAGCAGCCGCUUCCUUUUAAAACCGAACCAUCUGUUUUUACAGCGUUUUCUCCUUUUCCCUUGUUUUCCUGUUCUUUUUCAGCAUGUACACUUCCACACAGCUUGAUGGAGUGCCCGAGGGUGAAUCUUCUCCCGGAUGCUGGUUUCACAUGGUGGUUUAGAUGUGUUUAACCCAGUGUCUAGCACCAUUUGAAAUCAGUGUUCCUGAAGAGGAACGGCAGCUGUGGAGUAGCAAAUGAAACCACACGGGCUACACGAGCGAACUCACUAAUCACGUCAGCUCCAGAAUCUUUAGAACAGUAACCUUCAUUCGUACUAAAGGGUAACAAACUGACAAGUGGCUAUUUAUUUUCUAUUUGCAUGUGCAACACUGGGCUGAGAUUGUAGCUACAGCUGUAAGUAACAAUGCUAUGCAGUGGAACUGAGAUUUUUUUAACUUUCAAUUCUAUGUAGUAGAUUCUGUAAAAUGACAGAUUCAUACGCUUUGUUUGGACAAACCCUCUGACCCUUCCUGGGGCACUUGCAGUCCGACAUUUCUUCGAUUCCCCACUGACCGCUCUAGAUCCUGCAAUUAGUUCCCAUUUAUUGUUUGACCAUGGUUUCAUCUUUCCCUGCCAUACAAAACCUUUUAUUAAAUGUGUCGAGAGACAUUAGGAAGAAAAAUAAAGUAAGGAAUGAAUCUGGUGUGUGUGUGUGUGUGUGUGUGUGUGUGUGUGUGUGU